AAGACCUUGCGCUUUUGGAGCGGCCGAUGCCUGAUUAGCUAGUUGGUGGGGUAAUGGCCUACCAAAGCUUCGAUCAGUAGCUGGUCUGAGAGGACGGCCAGCCACACUGGGACUGAGACACGGCCCAGACUCCUACGGGAGGCAGCAGUGGGGAAUUUUGGACAAUGGGCGCAAGCCUGAUCCAGCCAUGCCGCGUGAGUGAAGAAGGCCUUCGGGUUGUAAAGCUCUUUCAGCCGGGAAGAAAAGGUUGCGAUUAAUAAUCGCAAUUUAUGACGGUACCGGAAGAAGAAYCACCGGCUAACUACGUGCCAGCAGCCGCGGUAAUACGUAGGGUGCGAGCGUUAAUCGGAAUUACUGGGCGUAAAGGGUGCGCAGGCGGUUUUGUAAGUCAGAUGUGAAAUCCCCGGGCUUAACCUGGGAACU
This 423-nucleotide ribosomal RNA is filed under the name uncultured bacterium. RNAcentral's name for it is "bacterial SSU rRNA". It matches the Rfam family "Bacterial small subunit ribosomal RNA", at positions 207 to 622 of the family's 1533-position model. The record is from RNAcentral.